RNAcentral lists this small nuclear RNA (23 nucleotides) under Arabidopsis thaliana (thale cress). RNAcentral describes it as "snRNA_06063". Lineage: Eukaryota; Viridiplantae; Streptophyta; Magnoliopsida; Brassicales; Brassicaceae. The record is from RNAcentral.
AACAGAUAGGUUUUUCUGACCCU